RNAcentral lists this ribosomal RNA (561 nucleotides) under uncultured bacterium. Its description in RNAcentral is "bacterial SSU rRNA". It matches the Rfam family "Bacterial small subunit ribosomal RNA", at positions 49 to 653 of the family's 1533-position model. The record is from RNAcentral.
UAACCAUGCAAGUCGCACGGGCAGGGCAACCUGUCAGUGGCGGACGGGUGAGUAACGCGUAGGAAUCUAUCCUUGGGUGGGGGACAACCGUGGGAAACUACGGCUAAUACCGCAUGAUCCCUGAGGGGCAAAGGCGAAAGUCGCCUGAGGAGGAGCCUGCGUCUGAUUAGGUAGUUGGUGGGGUAAAGGCCUACCAAGCCUGCGAUCAGUAGCUGGUCUGAGAGGAUGAUCAGCCACACUGGGACUGAGACACGGCCCAGACUCCUACGGGAGGCAGCAGUGGGGAAUAUUGGACAAUGGGCGAAAGCCUGAUCCAGCAAUGCCGCGUGGAUGAAGAAGGUCCUCGGAUUGUAAAGUCCUUUUGGCGGGGACGAUGAUGACGGUACCCGCAGAAUAAGCUCCGGCUAACUUCGUGCCAGCAGCCGCGGUAAUACGAAGGGGGCUAGCGUUGCUCGGAAUGACUGGGGCGUAAAGGGCGCGUAGGCGGACGGCACAGUCAGGCGUGAAAUUCCUGGGCUCACCUGGGGACUGCGUCUGAGACGUGUUGUCUUGAGUAUGGAA